Pelobates cultripes (western spadefoot toad) is the source of this 226-nucleotide non-coding RNA. The record is from the annotation of a GenBank genome assembly. NCBI's taxonomy places the organism in Eukaryota, Metazoa, Chordata, Amphibia, Anura, Pelobatidae.
GUCGCAGCCAAUGCAACACUGACCAACACACACACUCACUGACAGACACACACACACAGACACUGACAGACACACUCACAGACAGACACUCACAAACAGACCGACAGAAACACAGACACACAGAUACACAGACACACACACUCACUGACAGACACACACACCAUUUUCUUUAUUGCUCCCUACCUUUGGGAGCCGAUGUGGGGCCUCUCCCUAGGGUCACAUGAGG